Molecule: ribosomal RNA, 1379 nt
Filed under: uncultured bacterium
Lineage: Bacteria
Description: 16S ribosomal RNA
Rfam family: Bacterial small subunit ribosomal RNA
Source: RNAcentral
UUCGCCCUUAGAGUUUGAUCCUGGCUCAGGACGAACGCUGGCGGCGCGCCUAACACAUGCAAGUCGAACGAGCGAGAGAGAGCUUGCUUUCUCGAGCGAGUGGCGAACGGGUGAGUAACGCGUGAGGAACCUGCCUCAAAGAGGGGGACAACAGUUGGAAACGACUGCUAAUACCGCAUAAGUCCACAGCUCGGCAUCGAGCAGAGGGGAAAGGAGCAAUCCGCUUUGAGAUGGCCACGCGUCCGAUUAGCUAGUUGGUGAGGUAACGGCCCACCAAGGCGACGAUCGGUAGCCGGACUGAGAGGUUGAACGGCCACAUUGGGACUGAGACACGGCCCAGACUCCUACGGGAGGCAGCAGUGGGGAAUAUUGCACAAUGGGGGAAACCCUGAUGCAGCGACGCCGCGUGGAGGAAGAAGGUCUUCGGAUUGUAAACUCCUGUUGUUGGGGAAGAUAAUGACGGUACCCAACAAGGAAGUGACGGCUAACUACGUGCCAGCAGCCGCGGUAAAACGUAGGUCACAAGCGUUGUCCGGAAUUACUGGGUGUAAAGGGAGCGCAGGCGGGAAGACAAGUUGGAAGUGAAAUCUAUGGGCUCAACCCAUAAACUGCUUUCAAAACUGUUUUUCUUGAGUAGUGCAGAGGUAGGCGGAAUUCCCGGUGUAGCGGUGGAAUGCGUAGCUAUCGGGAGGAACACCAGUGGCGAAGGCGGCCUACUGGGCACCAACUGACGCUGAGGCUCGAAAGUGUGGGUAGCAAACAGGAUUAGAUACCCUGGUAGUCCACACCGUAAACGAUGAUUACUAGGUGUUGGAGGAUUGACCCCUUCAGUGCCGCAGUUAACACAAUAAGUAAUCCACCUGGGGAGUACGACCGCAAGGUUGAAACUCAAAGGAAUUGACGGGGGCCCGCACAAGCAGUGGAGUAUGUGGUUUAAUUCGACGCAACGCGAAGAACCUUACCAAGUCUUGACAUCCCUUGACAGGCAUAGAAAUAUGUUUUCUCUUCGGAGCAAGGAGACAGGUGGUGCAUGGUUGUCGUCAGCUCGUGUCGUGAGAUGUUGGGUUAAGUCCCGCAACGAGCGCAACCCUUAUGGUCAGUUACUACGCAAGAGGACUCUGGCCAGACUGCCGUUGACAAAACGGAGGAAGGUGGGGAUGACGUCAAAUCAUCAUGCCCUUUAUGACUUGGGCUACACACGUACUACAAUGGCGUUAAACAAAGAGAAGCAAGACCGCGAGGUGGAGCAAAACUCAGAAACAACGUCCCAGUUCGGACUGCAGGCUGCAACUCGCCUGCACGAAGUCGGAAUUGCUAGUAAUCGUGGAUCAGCAUGCCACGGUGAAUACGUUCCCGGGCCUUGCACUCACCGCCCGUCA